ACAGAAGCGAAGAAGCAGCCAGAAGUCAAUUCGUAGCAGUAAUCAUGUUCGCAAGCAAAACUAUUGUCCUCGUUGUUGCCAUGCUGGCCCUAGUAUACGUGGCUGCUGCUUAUCCCAGUUUCGGAUACGGGUCAUACGGCCACCAUUCAUCUUACGGACAUGGACACGGUUCUUAUGGAUACGGACAUCUUGGAUAUGGGCCACUCUACAACCAGUACUCAUCCCACCACCAUGGACACUAUCACGGAUAGACUGAAUCGAUCUCCUGCUGAGAUGGUGCCUAAUUUCUGAACCUCAUUUCCACCUGCUUUCCUUCUCAUUUCCACUUCAGAGAAAUGAAGAAAAUCAGGACGUGAAAUGAUGCAGAUUAUUUGCUCCUUAUAUUUUGAACUUUAAUCACAAUUUCUAUUAAAACAUGUCUAUUUGUAUUGCGGAUUUGUAAUA
Macrobrachium nipponense is the source of this 444-nucleotide long non-coding RNA. RefSeq lists it as uncharacterized. The record is from RefSeq and is a predicted model, not a curated record. Lineage: Eukaryota; Metazoa; Arthropoda; Malacostraca; Decapoda; Palaemonidae. The transcript is spliced from 3 exons.